RNAcentral lists this ribosomal RNA (570 nucleotides) under fungal endophyte. RNAcentral describes it as "eukaryotic LSU rRNA". The stretch from base 183 to 336 matches the Rfam family "5.8S ribosomal RNA". Lineage: Eukaryota; Fungi. The record is from RNAcentral.
AAAAAAGGGUUCUCGUUGGUGACCAGCGGAGGGAUCAUUACCGAGUACUAUAACUCAUAACCCUUUGUGAACCUUCAUACCUGUUGCUUCGGCGGCGCGCCUCCCGGGGCGUGCCCGCCGGCAUUAUCAGAAUCUCUGUUCGAACCCGACGAUACUUCUGAGUGUUCUAAGCGAACUGUUAAAACUUUCAACAACGGAUCUCUUGGCUCCAGCAUCGAUGAAGAACGCAGCGAAACGCGAUAUGUAAUGUGAAUUGCAGAAUUCAGUGAAUCAUCGAAUCUUUGAACGCACAUGGCGCCUUCCAGUAUCCUGGGAGGCAUGCCUGUCCGAGCGUCGUUUCAACCCUCGAGCCCCCGUGGCCCGGCGUUGGGGACCUGCCCAGGCAGUCCCCGAAAACCAGUGGCGGACCCGACGGGCCCUUCCUUUGCGUAGUAACAUCUGCCUCGCAUCGGGAGCCCCCGGGCUAUCCGGCCUCUAAACCCCCCUCAAGCCCGCUCCGGCGGCACCAAGGUUGACCUCGGAUCAGGUAGGAAUACCCGCUGAACUUAAGCAUAUCAAUAAGCGGAGGAA